AAAUGAAUAAUCGUUCAUUUCAUUUUUGGAUUUCACGAUGGGAGGUUGUGUUUUAUCGAGUGGAGUAAUGAAUAUAAUACGUUUUAAAAACGUGAAAGUUUCUUGAAACGAUUUUACGAAUGAAAAUAUUGAAAACAAAGUUAAACUGCGUUAUAAAUAUGAAUAGUUUAUGGAGGUCGCUGACAUGCAAAUGCCGUUGAUGGUUAUAUAAAAACAGAUAUGACGAUAUACAAUGAAGCUAAAUAAAUUUAGACAUGUGGAAUUUUAAAGGUAGUUUAAAGUUACGCUAGAUAUAUCUGGAAGCCUCUAACAAUAUUAGAAUGCACGCAGUUACAUUGUAACUAUGUAUUAUCCACUUUUGGGAUCAACUGAAAGGAUAAAAUAGAAUACCAGAUCUUAAUUAUGGUUUAAUUUCAUUGUUUAACAUCGUGGACAUUUAAACAAAAU
Long non-coding RNA from Teleopsis dalmanni, 447 nucleotides. RefSeq lists it as uncharacterized. The transcript has 4 exons. Lineage: Eukaryota; Metazoa; Arthropoda; Insecta; Diptera; Diopsidae. The record is from RefSeq and is a predicted model, not a curated record.